GAUGAACGCUGGCGGCGUGCCUAAUACAUGCAAGUCGAGCGAACAGACGAGGAGCUUGCUCCCCUGACGUUAGCGGCGGACGGGCGAGUAACACGUGGAUCACCUUCCUAUAAGUCUGGGAUAACUUCGGGAGACCGGAGCUAAUACUGGAUAAUAUAUUGAACCGCAUGGAUCAAUAGUGAAAGACGGUUUUGCUGUCACUUAUAGAUGGUUCCGCGUCGCAUUAGUGAGUUGGUAAGGUAACGGCUAACCAAGGGAACGAUGCGUAGCCGACCUGAGAGGGUGAGCGGGCACACUGGGACUUGGACACGGGCCAGACUCCUACGGGGAGCAGCAGUAGGGAAUCUUCCGCAAUGGGCGGAAGGCUGAAGGAGCAACGCCGCGUUAGUGAUGAAGGGCUUCGGAUCGUAAAACUCUGUUAGUAGGGAAAAACAAAUGUGUAAGUAACUAUGCACGUCUUGACGGUACCUAAUCAGAAAGCCACGGCUAACUACGUG
This 497-nucleotide ribosomal RNA is filed under the name uncultured bacterium. Its description in RNAcentral is "partial 16S ribosomal RNA". It matches the Rfam family "Bacterial small subunit ribosomal RNA", at positions 28 to 507 of the family's 1533-position model. The record is from RNAcentral.